GUACACGCUGUGACUAGCAUAUCAAUAAGCGGAGGAAAAGAAACUAACAAGGAUUCCCCUAGUAACGGCGAGUGAAGCGGGAAGAGCUCGAAUUUGAAAUCUUAAAGGGUUUCCCUUUACGAAUUGUAGUUUAAAGAAGUGUUUUCUGUUGAGGUUUUGGUAAAAGUUCUUUGGAAUAGGACAUCAUAGAGGGUGAGAAUCCCGUAUUUGACCUUUACUUUCAACUUUGUGAUACACUUUCAAAGAGUCGGAUUGUUUGGGAAUGCAGUCCAAAAUGGGUGGUAAAUUCAUCUAAAGCUAAAUAUUGGCGAGAGACCGAUAGCGAACAAGUACCGUGAGGGAAAGAUGAAAAGAACUUUGAAAAGAGAGUUAAACAGUACGUGAAAUUGUCAAAAGGGAAGCGUUUGACACCAGUGUUGUUUUUCUGAAAAUCAAUUAAAGAACUGUUUAUGCUAAGCUGUUUAGACUUUAUCAGCUAUCUGUUUAGUUUUGAGCUUUUCUUUAAUGCACUUUUCAGUUAACAAGUCAACAUCAAUUUCUUUUGCUGUAAAAAAGCUUGAGGAAGGUGGCUUGAGAUUCCGUCUUAAGUGUUUAUAGCCUCUUGCCUAUGCAGUCGGAGAGAUUGAGGUCUGCAGCGUAGAUCCUUCGGGGCUAAAUGCAUUUGUGCUAAGUUAUAGCAUUUUAUAGACAACUUGUUGACUAUGAUUUGUCUUGUAGCUUACUCGCUUAUGUUAUUUUACCUACGCUUAGGAUGUUGAAGAUGUAGCACAUCAU
This 774-nucleotide ribosomal RNA is filed under the name uncultured Neocallimastigales. Its description in RNAcentral is "partial large subunit ribosomal RNA". It matches the Rfam family "Eukaryotic large subunit ribosomal RNA", at positions 22 to 639 of the family's 3401-position model. Lineage: Eukaryota; Fungi; Neocallimastigomycota; Neocallimastigomycetes; Neocallimastigales. The record is from RNAcentral.